This 466-nucleotide ribosomal RNA is filed under the name uncultured bacterium. Its description in RNAcentral is "partial 16S ribosomal RNA". It matches the Rfam family "Bacterial small subunit ribosomal RNA", at positions 30 to 507 of the family's 1533-position model. The record is from RNAcentral.
CGACCGCUGGCGGCGUGCUUAACACAUGCAAGUCGAACGGAAAGGCCCUGCUUUUGUGGGGUGCUCGAGUGGCGAACGGGUGAGUAACACGUGAGUAACCUGCCCUUGACUUUGGGAUAACUUCAGGAAACUGGGGCUAAUACCGGAUAGGAGCUCCUGCUGCAUGGUGGGGGUUGGAAAGUUUCGGCGGUUGGGGAUGGACUCGCGGCUUAUCAGCUUGUUGGUGGGGUAGUGGCUUACCAAGGCUUUGACGGGUAGCCGGCCUGAGAGGGUGACCGGCCACAUUGGGACCGAGAUACGGCCCAGACUCCUACGGGAGGCAGCAGUGGGGAAUAUUGCACAAUGGGCGGAAGCCUGAUGCAGCAACGCCGCGUGCGGGAUGACGGCCUUCGGGUUGUAAACCGCUUUCGCCUGUGACGAAGCGUGAGUGACGGUAAUGGGUAAAGAAGCACCGGCUAACUACGUG